RNAcentral lists this ribosomal RNA (276 nucleotides) under uncultured prokaryote. RNAcentral describes it as "partial 16S ribosomal RNA". It matches the Rfam family "Bacterial small subunit ribosomal RNA", at positions 524 to 800 of the family's 1533-position model. The record is from RNAcentral.
UACGUAUGGGGCUAGCGUUAUCCGGAAUUACUGGGCGUAAAGGGUGCGUAGGUGGUUUCUUAAGUCAGAGGUGAAAGGCUACGGCUCAACCGUAGUAAGCCUUUGAAACUGAGAAACUUGAGUGCAGGAGAGGAGAGUAGAAUUCCUAGUGUAGCGGUGAAAUGCGUAGAUAUUAGGAGGAAUACCAGUUGCGAAGGCGGCUCUCUGGACUGUAACUGACACUGAGGCACGAAAGCGUGGGGAGCAAACAGGAUUAGAUACCCGGGUAGUCCCUGA